GAUGAAGAACGUAGCGAAAUGCGAUAAGUAGUGUGAAUUGCAGAAUUCAGUGAAUCAUCGAAUCUUUGAACGCACAUUGCGCCCCUCGGUAUUCCGUGGGGCAUGCCUGUUCGAGCGUCAUUUAACCCCUCAAGCCUAGCUUGGUAUUGGGUGCUUGUCCCACCUCUCGCGCGGCGACUCACCUCAAAGUCAUUGGCAGCCCGCAUCUCGCCGGCCGUGAGCGCAGCACAGACGCGCUCUUGGCAACGACGGAUCGGCUCUCCAAAAGCUUAUUUCAACCACUGACCUCGGAUCAGGUAGGGAUACCCGCUGAACUUAAGCAUAUCAAUAAGCGGAGGA
RNAcentral lists this unclassified non-coding RNA (339 nucleotides) under soil metagenome. Its description in RNAcentral is "partial contains 5.8S ribosomal RNA, internal transcribed spacer 2, and large subunit ribosomal RNA". The stretch from base 1 to 120 matches the Rfam family "5.8S ribosomal RNA", at positions 35 to 154 of the family's 154-position model. The record is from RNAcentral.